AUGCUCUUCCUUCUCCCCCCAUCUCCCCCACCUGCUCCUCCCUCUCUCUUCCCUCCUGCUCCUGCCUCUCUCUCCUCCUCUCCCUCCCCUCCUGAUCCUGCCUCUCUCUCCCCUCUCUCUCUCCUCCUACUCCUCCCUCUCCUCCUCCAUCUCUCCUCCACUUUCUCCCCUCCUGCUCCUCCCUCUCUCUCCUCCUGCUCCUGCCUCUCUCUCCUCCUGCUCCUGCCUCUCUCUCCUCCUGCUCCUGCCUCUCUCUCCUCCUCUCUCUCUCUCCUCCUGCUCCUGCCUCUCUCUCCUCCUCCAUCUCUCCUCCUCUCUCUCCUCCUGCUCCUGCCUCUCUCUCCUCCUGCUCCUGCCUCUCUCUCCUCCUGCUCCUGCCUCUCUCUCCUCCUCUCUCUCCUCCUGCUCCUGCCUCUCUCUCCUCCUGCUCCUGCCUCUCUCUCCUCCUGCUCCUGCCUCUCUCUCCUCUCUCUCUCUCCUCCUGCUCCUGCCUCUCUCUCCUCCUGCUCCUGCCUCUCUCUCCUCCUGCUCCUGCCUCUCUCUCCUCCUGCUCCUGCCUCUCUCUCCUCCUGCUCCUGCCUCUCUCUCCUCCUGCUCCUGCCUCUCUCUCCUCCUGCUCCUCCCUCUCUCUCCUCCUGCUCCUGCCUCUCUCUCCUCCUCCAUCUUUCCUCCUCUUUCUCCCCCUCCUGCUCCUCCCUCUCUCUCCCUUCCUGCUUCUCCCUCUCUCUCUCCCCUCUCUCCCCUCAUGCUCCUGCCUCUCUCUCCUCCUCUGAGCUCCACUCCUGCUCCUCCCUCUCUCUCCUCUCUCUCUCUCUCCUCCUCCUUCUCCCCCUCUCUCUCCUCCUCUAUCUCUCCUCCUCUUUCUCCCUUCCUGAUAACCCCUCUCUCUCCCCUUCUCCUCCUCUGAGCUCCCCUCCUGCUCCUGCCUCUUUCUCUCCUCCUCUGAGUCUCCUUCUGUUUUGUCUUUUCCUCUUCUCACUCACCCUCCCUUUUAUUCAUCUUUUCCUUCCUUUUUUUCUCAUUAUCUUCUUCAGUUCAGUUCAGUUCAGUCGCGCAGUCGUGUCCGACUCUUUGUGA
RNAcentral lists this long non-coding RNA (1077 nucleotides) under Bos grunniens (domestic yak). RNAcentral describes it as "lncRNA (ENSBGRG00000011414.1)". The record is from RNAcentral. Lineage: Eukaryota; Metazoa; Chordata; Mammalia; Artiodactyla; Bovidae.